CCCAUGUCCCUGAGCUGGAACCACCUCGAAAGCCAAAUGCUGAGCCGGUGCUGUACUGCGACCUACCUGAUGCCUGGAACGGGGUGCAGCAGCAGAGAUCUGGGGCCACAGAGACAAAGACUUGACCUUCCUGGGUCUGGCCCCAGAGAAUGGUGCCACCUUCCUGGCUACAAACAUGCUUCCUACACCCUGCCGGGUAACAGCAGGACCAGCCCCAGGGACGACCAAUUACCUGAAGUGAAUGAAGCCAGCUCCCACACCUGUGUAUAACC
Long non-coding RNA from Octodon degus (degu), 272 nucleotides. RefSeq lists it as uncharacterized. Lineage: Eukaryota; Metazoa; Chordata; Mammalia; Rodentia; Octodontidae. The transcript has 3 exons. The record is from RefSeq and is a predicted model, not a curated record.